RNAcentral lists this ribosomal RNA (769 nucleotides) under Bacillus sp. DBQ_16LB. RNAcentral describes it as "bacterial SSU rRNA". It matches the Rfam family "Bacterial small subunit ribosomal RNA", at positions 680 to 1447 of the family's 1533-position model. Lineage: Bacteria; Bacillati; Bacillota; Bacilli; Caryophanales; Bacillaceae. The record is from RNAcentral.
GGUGAAAUGCGUAGAGAUGUGGAGGAACACCAGUGGCGAAGGCGACUCUCUGGUCUGUAACUGACGCUGAGGCGCGAAAGCGUGGGGAGCGAACAGGAUUAGAUACCCUGGUAGUCCACGCCGUAAACGAUGAGUGCUAAGUGUUAGAGGGUUUCCGCCCUUUAGUGCUGCAGCAAACGCAUUAAGCACUCCGCCUGGGGAGUACGGUCGCAAGACUGAAACUCAAAGGAAUUGACGGGGGCCCGCACAAGCGGUGGAGCAUGUGGUUUAAUUGGAAGCAACGCGAAGAACCUUACCAGGUCUUGACAUCCUUCGCUACUUCUAGAGAUAGAAGGUUCCCCUUCGGGGGACGAAGUGACAGGUGGUGCAUGGUUGUCGUCAGCUCGUGUCGUGAGAUGUUGGGUUAAGUCCCGCAACGAGCGCAACCCUUGAUCUUAGUUGCCAGCAUUCAGUUGGGCACUCUAAGGUGACUGCCGGUGACAAACCGGAGGAAGGUGGGGAUGACGUCAAAUCAUCAUGCCCCUUAUGACCUGGGCUACACACGUGCUACAAUGGAUGGUACAAAGGGCUGCAAGACUGCGAAGUCAAGCCAAUCCCAUAAAACCAUUCUCAGUUCGGAUUGCAGGCUGCAACUCGCCUGCAUGAAGCCGGAAUCGCUAGUAAUCGCGGAUCAGCAUGCCGCGGUGAAUACGUUCCCGGGCCUUGUACACACCGCCCGUCACACCACGAGAGUUUGUAACACCCGAAGUCGGUGGGGUAACCGUAAGGA